AAAAAAAAAACUAUCAUUAUUUACUACAUGUAAAAAAAAGAACUAAGCAGGAGUAAGUCCUGGAAUCAUAUUUAUUUCAAGUUGAAGGUCGUUUAGACCAAAUUAUUUGGAUUUAAAAUGUCUGUUUGAUACAGUGUAAAGUUGGUCUGUGUUAUUAACAAGUUAAAUGUUGUUUUCAUCAAAAUUUUCAAAGGAGCACGGUUAAAAUAAUUGAACAUUAUAGCCAUAAGAAUUUAUCAUCAGUUUAUUUCA
RNAcentral lists this long non-coding RNA (252 nucleotides) under Mytilus galloprovincialis (Mediterranean mussel). The record is from RNAcentral. Lineage: Eukaryota; Metazoa; Mollusca; Bivalvia; Mytilida; Mytilidae.